GAUCUAUGGGUUAUCUGUGGGGCUGGGGAGAGGAAUCUAUGGGUUACUGGUCAUCUAUCGGCCUGGGGGUCCUAUUGGGGUUCGGGGCUGAGUGAUCUAUGGGGUUAUCUGUGGGGCUGGGGGAGGAUCUAUGGGGUUAUCUGUGGGGCUGGGGGAGGAUCUAUGGGGUUAUCUGUGGGGCUGGGGGAGGAUCUAUGGGGUUAUGGCCAUCUAUGGACCCAUGUGCCCCCCAUGACCACAUACAGCCCCAUCCAUGGGCUGCAAAGACCCCCAUCCCCACCCUGAGGGGUCUCUGUGCCCACCAGGACAACCCCAUAUACACACAGCCCCAUGUAUGGGCCGCAAAGACCCCCAUCCCCAUCCUUAGGGGUCUCUGUGCCCCAUAACCACACACAGCCCCAUCUAUGGGCCACAAAGACCCCCAUCCCCAUCCUGAGGGGUCUCUGUGCCCCAUAAGCACACACAGCCCCAUCCAUGGGCUGCAAAGACCCCCCCAUCCCCACCCUGAGGGGUCUCUGUGCCCACCAGGACAACCCCAUACACACACAGCCCCCACUAUAACCCACCAAUACAACCCCACGACCUCCUCCAUCCAUCACCCUCCCCCAUAACCCCCCAAAUACCCCCCAAAAUCCCCCAUAAUGACCCCAAAACCCCCCAUAACCCCCCCAUAGGACCCCAUAGGACCCCACAGGAUCCCAUAUUACCCCAAACUGACCCAAAAUCCCCAUAUUUCAGCCCAAAAUCACCUAUGAUCCUCUCCCCCUUGGUCAGGUUGAGCUCCCCAAAACCCCCCAUAAUGACCCCAAAAUCCCCCCCAAAAUUGCCCCAAAUGACCCCAGAUCCCCCCAUAACCCCCUCAUAUGACCCCAUAGGACCCCAUAGGAUCCCAUAGAACCCCAAACUGACCCAAAAUCCCCAUAUUUCAGCCCAAAAUCACCUUUGAUCCUCUCCCCCUUGGUCAGGCUGAGCUCCCCCAAACCGCCCCUUAAACCCCUCCAAAACGACCCCAAAUCACCCCAAAUCACCCCAAAACCCCCCCAGGCCCCCUCAUAGGACCCCAUAUUACCCCAUAAUGACCCAAAAUGACCCAAAAUCACCGUAUUUCAGCCCAAAAUCACCUUUGAUCCUCUCCCCCUUGGUCAGGCUGAGCUCUCCGUCCCCCUGUGCCUGGUACGGUCUGACCGCCAGGAACGAGCGACCCGGAACCGCCGAGUACAACUUGCGCUUCACCCCGCGACCGCCAGGGGGCGCCGAUGAGC
Coturnix japonica (Japanese quail) is the source of this 1262-nucleotide long non-coding RNA. NCBI's taxonomy places the organism in Eukaryota, Metazoa, Chordata, Aves, Galliformes, Phasianidae. The record is from Ensembl.